CAUGGAAAGGCCUUGUAGAAAGGGAGAGAUCUUGAAUCUACACGGAGAGGGAAAGUUCCAGCUGUCCAUGCUUGUCAGCUGAAGCCAGCCUUCCUGCUACCCCUGCCAGAGUGCCACAGAGACUCUGGCAGAUUCAUCUGGACCACCAUGUGUAAGAUCUGCAGACUGGCCAGAAAGACCGCAUGGGGAAGCAAGGGCCUGGAGCUGUGAGAUGGGGAGAGCAGGCAAAGAGAAGAGG
This is a long non-coding RNA of Zalophus californianus (California sea lion), 238 nucleotides long. RefSeq lists it as uncharacterized. The record is from RefSeq and is a predicted model, not a curated record. The transcript is spliced from 3 exons. NCBI's taxonomy places the organism in Eukaryota, Metazoa, Chordata, Mammalia, Carnivora, Otariidae.